Molecule: non-coding RNA, 95 nt
Organism: Mycena latifolia
Lineage: Eukaryota; Fungi; Basidiomycota; Agaricomycetes; Agaricales; Mycenaceae
Source: the annotation of a GenBank genome assembly
GACCUAAUGGCGAAGCUGGUAUCGCGUCCAUAUUUCUUGGUAGAUAGUUCAACCAUUUUCGGUGGAAGUCCCCGGUUCUAACCCGGGUUAGGUCC